UGACCGUCCGUACACUUCUCCUCCAGCCACACAGCUACUGGUUUCCUGGCCAAUGGAGAAACCUGCACGACUCGCCCUGCAGUACGUCGACUGCGCGUAGUUCCCCAGCCUUUGCCAUCAGUCACGUGCGAUGGAUUUUCUUACGCCCUGCCGUGUCCCACACGGAUGACGUUCAUCGCCUGCUGUUCCCCGCGGCUGACCGUCCGUACACUUCUCCUCCAGCCACACAGCUACUGGUUUCCUGGCCAAUGGAGAAACCUGCACGACUCGCCCUGCAGUACGUCGACUGCGCGUAGUUCCCCAGCCUUUGCCAUCAGUCACGUGCGAUGGAUUUUCUUACGCCCUGCCGUGUCCCACACGGAUGACUUUCAUCGCCUGCUGUUCCCCGCGGAUGACCGUCCGUACACUUCUCCUCCAGCCACACAGCUACUGGUUUCCUGGCCAAUGGAGAAACCUGCACGACCCACCUUGCAGUACGUCGACUGCGCGUAGGUAAAUCCGAGUUAUUCUGGCCCGUGCUGUGGCGUUGUGCUGACGAAUGCUUAACAUGACGCCUCCUUGUCGUUUCAGUUCCCCAG
Dermacentor albipictus is the source of this 578-nucleotide non-coding RNA. The record is from RefSeq and is a predicted model, not a curated record. Lineage: Eukaryota; Metazoa; Arthropoda; Arachnida; Ixodida; Ixodidae.